GCCGCUGUAGCCCAGUUGGUAGAGGCGUCGCCAGUACAGCAGUACAGAUGGCGAAGGUCUCUGGUUCAAAUCCAGCCUGCGGUG
Non-coding RNA from Phthorimaea operculella (potato tuberworm), 84 nucleotides. The record is from the annotation of a GenBank genome assembly. Lineage: Eukaryota; Metazoa; Arthropoda; Insecta; Lepidoptera; Gelechiidae.